AUUGAACGCUAGCGGGAUGCUUUACACAUGCAAGUCGAACGGCAGCGCGGACUUCGGUCUGGCGGCGAGUGGCUAACGGGUGAGUAAUGUAUCGGAACGUGCCCAGUAGCGGGGGAUAACUACGCGAAAGCGUAGCUAAUACCGCAUACGCCCUACGGGGGAAAGCAGGGGAUCGUAAGACCUUGCACUAUUGGAGCGGCCGAUAUCGGAUUAGCUAGUUGGUGAGGUAACGGCUCACCAAGGCGACGAUCCGUAGCUGGUUUGAGAGGACGACCAGCCACACUGGGACUGAGACACGGCCCAGACUCCUACGGGAGGCAGCAGUGGGGAAUUUUGGACAAUGGGGGCAGCCCUGAUCCAGCCAUCCCGCGUGUGCGAUGAAGGCCUUCGGGUUGUAAAGCACUUUUGGCAGGAAAGAAACGUCGCGGGCUAAUACCCCGUGGAACUGACGGUACCUGCAGAAUAAGCACCGGCUAACUACGUG
Molecule: ribosomal RNA, 484 nt
Filed under: uncultured bacterium
Lineage: Bacteria
Description: partial 16S ribosomal RNA
Rfam family: Bacterial small subunit ribosomal RNA
Source: RNAcentral